This is a long non-coding RNA of Ziziphus jujuba (common jujube), 653 nucleotides long. RefSeq lists it as uncharacterized. The record is from RefSeq and is a predicted model, not a curated record. NCBI's taxonomy places the organism in Eukaryota, Viridiplantae, Streptophyta, Magnoliopsida, Rosales, Rhamnaceae. The transcript is spliced from 3 exons.
CUUGGGGCCCCCAUCGACUAUUCUUAACCUGAUCAGAAGCUUAUUCUCUCUAGCCUCCAGCUUCUUCUCUCUGUCUCAGUCUUAGUCUCUCUCUCUCUCUCUCUCUCUCUCUCUCUCUCUCUCUCUCUCUUUUCUUAGUUUUGGCCUUUUCUUCUUUCUUCUCGUUGAUUUGGUACCCUAAAUCUUGAAGGAACAAAAGAGAAAAAGCUGCUUUCAACAGACACGGUGCACAAAAAGUUCGACGUAAAGCUUUGGUGGUGCUAUAUCCGAAAGCUUCGAGAUUCUGUUGUAUACUGGAAGAUAACUGUUGGGAGAACAUAUGCACCGGUAGGACGGAAAUUGUCUUAAGAAAACUGUGAUACUACAUAGGCCUCUGACCAAUUUCAUCAACAAGCAGAUCGAAUCUAAAGACAUACAGGUCCAGGCAAUUAGCGGACGGUCUAUCUCGUGUAUCAUUUAUUAUUCCGCGUUCUCCACUGCAGCAGUAGUACUUAUAUUUCCCUAUUCUUCUUUAUUUUUCUAGACUUAUUUGCAUCAAUUAUAUUACAUAAUUUUAUAUGUACUCUUCAAAUAUUCUGACUUAAAUUAUGGACACAAAGUGACCCUAUUAUGUAGAUAUAAUAAUGACAUAUAGUAUGACAGUAGAAUAUGGU